This 497-nucleotide ribosomal RNA is filed under the name uncultured bacterium. RNAcentral's name for it is "partial 16S ribosomal RNA". It matches the Rfam family "Bacterial small subunit ribosomal RNA", at positions 28 to 507 of the family's 1533-position model. The record is from RNAcentral.
GAUGAACGCUGGCGGCGUGCCUAAUACAUGCAAGUCGAGCGAACGGACGAGAAGCUUACUUCUCUGAUGUUAGCGGCGGACGGGUGAGUAACACGUGGAUAACCUACCUAUAAGACUAGGAUAACUUCGGGAAACCGGAGCUAAUACCGGAUGAUAUUUUGAACCGCAUGGUUCAAAAGUGAAAGACGGUCUUGCUGUCACUUAUAGAUGGAUCCGCGCUGCAUUAGCUAGUUGGUAAGGUAACGGCUUACCAAGGCAACGAUGCAUAGCCGACCUGAGAGGGUGAUCGGCCACACUGGAACUGAGACACGGUCCAGACUCCUACGGGAGGCAGCAGUAGGGAAUCUUCCGCAAUGGGCGAAAGCCUGACGGAGCAACGCCGCGUGAGUGAUGAAGGUCUUCGGAUCGUAAAACUCUGUUAUUAGGGAAGAACAUAUGUGUAAGUAACUGUGCACAUCUUGACGGUACCUAAUCAGAAAGCCACGGCUAACUACGUG